GAUGAACGCUAGCUACAGGCUUAACACAUGCAAGUCGAGGGGCAGCAUGGGCUUAGCUUGCUAAGCCCGAUGGCGACCGGCGCACGGGUGAGUAACACGUAUCCAACCUUCCGGUAACUCCGGUAUAGCCUUUCGAAAGAAAGAUUAAUCCCGGAUAGUAUGGUGAUUCCGCAUGGUUUCUCCAUUAAAGGAUUCCGGUUACCGAUGGGGAUGCGUUCCAUUAGGCAGUUGGCGGGGUAACGGCCCACCUAGCCGACGAUCAGUAGGGGUUCUGAGAGGAAGGUCCCCCACACUGGAACUGAGACACGGUCCAG
RNAcentral lists this ribosomal RNA (314 nucleotides) under uncultured bacterium. Its description in RNAcentral is "bacterial SSU rRNA". It matches the Rfam family "Bacterial small subunit ribosomal RNA", at positions 28 to 334 of the family's 1533-position model. The record is from RNAcentral.